Molecule: non-coding RNA, 111 nt
Organism: Acanthosepion pharaonis
Lineage: Eukaryota; Metazoa; Mollusca; Cephalopoda; Sepiida; Sepiidae
Source: the annotation of a GenBank genome assembly
UGACCAUACCUCCUUGAAACAUCAGUUCAUGUACAAUCACCAAAGUUAAGCAACAUUGACCCUGCUCAGUACCUAGAUGGGUGACUGCUAGGGAAUACCAGGUGCUGUAAG